UGGGGAAUAUUGGACAAUGGGCGAAAGCCUGAUCCAGCCAUGCCGCGUGUGUGAAGAAGGUCUUCGGAUUGUAAAGCACUUUAAGUUGGGAGGAAGGGCAGUAAGCGAAUACCUUGCUGUUUUGACGUUACCGACAGAAUAAGCACCGGCUAACUCUGUGCCAGCAGCCGCGGUAAUACAGAGGGUGCAAGCGUUAAUCGGAAUUACUGGGCGUAAAGCGCGCGUAGGUGGUUCGUUAAGUUGAAUGUGAAAGCCCCGGGCUCAACCUGGGAACUGCAUCCAAAGCUGGCGAGCUAGAGUAGGGCAGAGGGUGGUGGAAUUUCCUGUGUAGCGGUGAAAUGCGUAGAUAUAGGAAGGAACACCAGUGGCGAAGGCGACCACCUGGGCUCAUACUGACACUGAGGUGCGAAAGCGGGGGGAGCAAACAGG
Molecule: ribosomal RNA, 429 nt
Filed under: Pseudomonadota bacterium
Lineage: Bacteria; Pseudomonadati; Pseudomonadota
Description: Proteobacteria bacterium partial 16S ribosomal RNA
Rfam family: Bacterial small subunit ribosomal RNA
Source: RNAcentral